Molecule: ribosomal RNA, 388 nt
Filed under: uncultured bacterium
Lineage: Bacteria
Description: bacterial SSU rRNA
Rfam family: Bacterial small subunit ribosomal RNA
Source: RNAcentral
AUUAAACGCUGGCGGCAUGCCUUACACAUGCAAGUCGAACGGCAGCACGGGGGCAACCCUGGUGGCGAGUGGCGAACGGGUGAGUAAAGCAUCGGAACGUGCCCUGGAGUGGGGGGAUAACGUAGCGAAAGUUACGCUAAUACCGCAUAUUCUGUGAGCAGGAAAGCAGGGGAUCGCAAGACCUUGCGCUCUGGGAGCGGCCGAUGUCGGAUUAGCUAGUUGGUGGGGUAAAGGCCUACCAAGGCGACGAUCCGUAGCGGGUCUGAGAGGAUGAUCCGCCACACUGGGACUGAGACACGGCCCAGACUCCUACGGGAGGCAGCAGUGGGGAAUUUUGGACAAUGGGCGAAAGCCUGAUCCAGCUAUGCCGCGUGAGUGAAGAAGGCCU